GGAUGAGCAGAACCAGCCCAGCCCCGAGGCCCCAGCGAGGGCCGCGCCUACCUCCAGCUCGUAGAAGGCCAUGAGCACGGCGAAGCUGGUCAGGUGGUUGCACUGGCAGCGGGUGAUGGUGGCAUUCAACUUCUGCAGGGUGCAGCUGUCGGUGGCCCAGCGCCUGCUGCCAGGCUCCCAGUAGGCGCAGAGGAGGCGCAGCUGAAACCUUGUCUGUGGGCGCAUCCUCCACACCAGGACAGUGACUUUUCCAGACUAGAAGGUGGAAAAAGAAGGCUCGGGAGGACAUGUUCAAUGAGUUAAUGCGUGACUCCGAGAGUGACAAGCCCGAGCUCAGUGCAUGGAGGAUUGCAGUGUCAGGAGAACAUGCACAGUGACCGUGAGGCUAGGAGAGUAUGCAGGGAACAGGAGCAUGACACGCAGGACGAGAUGGUUCGGAUUAUGAGGGAGCAAACAGACAUGUUGAGGCAUCUGGCUGAGGUUGAAGAAAGGCAGCUGGACACUAGAGUCCCGCUGCACCCUAUGCUGAACCUGCUGCCCUUGUUGCCAAGUCCCACAUCCUUCUCUCCCAGACUUCCUAGGAUGGGGGCAGGGGGAGAGGGGAAGCUCCGGUAUCCCUUGUACUCAACUCCAGGGGAGGGGACAAGGAACAGAAGGGGCCCAUGCCCACAGCUUUGAUUGUUAUUGUGGUACAAAUUGUAAGCAACGGGUCCUUGUUUCUCCCCCACCUCACAGUGUUAUCAGCCCCAUAGCCCCAGUUUCUCUUUACUUUUCUUUGCUGUCUCUCAUCAGUGUUUGUGAGCAUAAUAAAAGUUAAUGGCUUGAGGA
This is a long non-coding RNA of Mauremys reevesii (Reeves's turtle), 828 nucleotides long. RefSeq lists it as uncharacterized. Lineage: Eukaryota; Metazoa; Chordata; Testudines; Geoemydidae. The transcript is spliced from 2 exons. The record is from RefSeq and is a predicted model, not a curated record.